GUCUCAGUAGCUCAGUUGGAUAGAGCAACAGCCUUCUAAGCUGUGGGUCGGGGGUUCGAGCCCCUCCUGGGACGCCA
Molecule: transfer RNA, 77 nt
Filed under: Alicyclobacillus fodiniaquatilis
Lineage: Bacteria; Bacillati; Bacillota; Bacilli; Caryophanales; Alicyclobacillaceae
Also listed under: 2 other names
Description: tRNA-Arg
Rfam family: tRNA
About the family: Transfer RNA (tRNA) molecules are approximately 80 nucleotides in length. Their secondary structure includes four short double-helical elements and three loops (D, anti-codon, and T loops).
Source: RNAcentral